RNAcentral lists this ribosomal RNA (293 nucleotides) under uncultured bacterium. Its description in RNAcentral is "partial 16S ribosomal RNA". It matches the Rfam family "Bacterial small subunit ribosomal RNA", at positions 505 to 796 of the family's 1533-position model. The record is from RNAcentral.
GUGUCAGCAGCCGCGGUAAUACGUAGGGGGCGAGCGUUGUCCGGAUUUAUUGGGCGUAAAGAGCUCGUAGGCGGUUCGAUAAGUCGGACGUGAAAUCUCCACGCUCAACGUGGAGGGGCCGUUCGAUACUGUCGUGACUCGAGUCCGGUAGGGGAGUGUGGAAUUCCCGGUGUAGCGGUGAAAUGCGCAGAGAUCGGGAGGAACACCCGUAGCGAAGGCGGCACUCUGGGCCGGUACUGACGCUGAGGAGCGAAAGCGUGGGGAGCAAACAGGAUUAGAUACCCUGGUAGUCC